This 132-nucleotide small nucleolar RNA is filed under the name Mauremys mutica (yellowpond turtle). Lineage: Eukaryota; Metazoa; Chordata; Testudines; Geoemydidae. The record is from RNAcentral. RNAcentral also lists the same sequence under 1 other name.
CUGCACUGCUGAGUGGCUGGUUGGUCUCCUCCUUGACCUCCUGAGUCUCAUUACAGUGCAAGAUGAACUCCCUUCUAGCAGAAGGGCCAGGCUAUUUCAGUGGUCUGUCUCUUUUGAUAGUUGGGUACAAAC